This 254-nucleotide ribosomal RNA is filed under the name uncultured bacterium. Its description in RNAcentral is "partial 16S ribosomal RNA". It matches the Rfam family "Bacterial small subunit ribosomal RNA", at positions 524 to 776 of the family's 1533-position model. The record is from RNAcentral.
UACGUAGGGUGCGAGCGUUGUCCGGAAUUAUUGGGCGUAAAGAGCUCGUAGGCGGUGUGUCACGUCGGCCGUGAAAACCUGCAGCUUAACUGUGGGCGUGCGGUCGAUACGGGCAUCACUGGAGUUCGGCAGGGGAGACUGGAAUUCCUGGUGUAGCGGUGAAAUGCGCAGAUAUCAGGAGGAACACCCGUGGCGAAGGCGGGUCUCUGGGCCGAUACUGACGCUGAGGAGCGAAAGCGUGGGGAGCAAACAGG